RNAcentral lists this ribosomal RNA (451 nucleotides) under Propomacrus cypriacus. RNAcentral describes it as "partial 16S ribosomal RNA". It matches the Rfam family "Archaeal large subunit ribosomal RNA", at positions 1900 to 2599 of the family's 2987-position model. Lineage: Eukaryota; Metazoa; Arthropoda; Insecta; Coleoptera; Glaphyridae. The record is from RNAcentral.
CAAAAACAUGGCGUUUUGAUUAUAAUUUAAGGUCUGGCCUGCCCAAUGAGUAGUUAAAUGGCCGCGGUAUUUUGACCGUGCAAAGGUAGCAUAAUCAUUAGUUUUUUAAUUGAAAGCUGGAAUGAAUGGUCGGACGAGAAAAUAACUGUCUCAGUAUAAUUUUGUUAGAAUUUUAUUUUUAAGUUAAAAAGCUUAAAUGUAUUUAAAAGACGAGAAGACCCUAUAGAGUUUUAUAUAUGUAUAUUUAUUGGUUUUAUAGUAUUUUGAUGCUGAUAUUUAGUAAUGUAUUUUGUUGGGGUGACAGAAAAAUUGGCUAAACUUUUUCUAAAAUUGAACAUUUAUUUAUGAUUGUUUGAUCCAUUAUUUAUGAUUAUAAGAUUAAAUUACCUUAGGGAUAACAGCGUAAUUUUUUUUGAGAGUUCUUAUCGAUAAAAGAGUUUGCGACCUCGAU